This is a non-coding RNA of Pseudomonas sp., 808 nucleotides long. The record is from Rfam. Lineage: Bacteria; Pseudomonadati; Pseudomonadota; Gammaproteobacteria; Pseudomonadales; Pseudomonadaceae.
CAGUCCGGUAGUUGAAAUAAUAAUGAACUCUAGAAGGGAUCCUGAGUACGAUCGGACACGAGAAAUACCGGUCGGAAUCUGCGAGGACCAUCUCGCAAGGCUAAAUACUACCUAGUGACCGAUAGUGAACCAGUACCGUGAGGGAAAGGCGAAAGAACCCCGGAAGGGGAGUGAAAGAGAACCUGAAACCGUGUGCUUACAAGUAGUCAGAGCCCGUUAAAGGGUGAUGGCGUGCCUUUUGUAGAAUGAACCGGCGAGUUACGAUAUCGUGCGAGGUUAAGAUGAAGAAUCGGAGCCGCAGCGAAAGCGAGUCUUAAUAGGGCGUAUAGUACGAUGUCGUAGACCCGAAACCGUGUGAGCUAGCCAUGUGCAGGAUGAAGGUUGGGUAACACCAACUGGAGGUCCGAACCAGGGUACGUUGAAAAGUGCUUGGAUGACGUGUGGCUAGAGGUGAAAUUCCAAUCGAACACGGAUAUAGCUGGUUCUCCCCGAAAUAGCUUUAGGGCUAGCCUCGUGAAAGAGUGUACCGGAGGUAGAGCACUGAAUGUGUGAUGGUCCCACCUCGGGAUACUGAGCAUAAUCAAACUCCGAAUGCCGGUAAUACAAACACGGGAGUCAGACUAUGGGUGAUAAGGUCCAUGGUCGAGAGGGAAAGAGCCCAGACCGCCAGCUAAGGUCCCUAAAUGUACGUUAAGUGGGAAAGGAUGUGGAGAUGCACAGACAACUAGGAGGUUGGCUUAGAAGCAGCCAUCCUUUAAAGAGUGCGUAAUAGCUCACUAGUCGAGUGACUCUGCGCCGAAAAUGUACC